GAUGAACGCUGGCGGCGUGCCUAAUACAUGCAAGUCGAGCGAACAGACGAGGAGCUUGCUCCUCUGACGUUAGCGGCGGACGGGUGAGUAACACGUGGAUAACCUACCUAUAAGACUGGGAUAACUUCGGGAAACCGGAGCUAAUACCGGAUAAUAUAUUGAACCGCAUGGUUCAAUAGUGAAAGACGGUUUUGCUGUCACUUAUAGAUGGAUCCGCGCCGCAUUAGCUAGUUGGUAAGGUAACGGCUUACCAAGGCGACGAUGCGUAGCCGACCUGAGAGGGUGAACGGCCACACUGGAACUGAGACACGGUCCAGACUCAUACGGGAGGCAGCAGUAGGGAAUCUUCCGCAAUGGGCGAAAGCCUGACGGAGCAACGCAGCGUGAGUGAUGAAGGUCUUCGGAUCGGAAAACUCUGUUAUUAGGGAAGAACAAAUGUGUAAGUACCUAUGCACGUCUUGACGGUACCUAAUCAGAAAGCCACGGCUAACUACGUG
Molecule: ribosomal RNA, 497 nt
Filed under: uncultured bacterium
Lineage: Bacteria
Description: partial 16S ribosomal RNA
Rfam family: Bacterial small subunit ribosomal RNA
Source: RNAcentral